CCUACGGGAGGCAGCAGUGAGGAAUAUUGGUCAAUGGACGAGAGUCUGAACCAGCCAAGUAGCGUGAAGGAUGACUGCCCUAUGGGUUGUAAACUUCUUUUAUAUGGGAAUAAAAUGUUCCACGUGUGGGAUUUUGUAUGUACCAUAUGAUGAAGGAUCGGCUAACUCCGUGCCAGCAGCCGCGGUAAUACGGAGGAUUCGAGCGUUAUCCGGAUUUAUUGGGUUUAAAGGGAGCGUAGGUGGAUGUUUAAGUCAGUUGUGAAAGUUUGCGGCUCAACCGUAAAAUUGCCGUUGAAACUGGCAGUCGUGAGUACAGUAGAGGUGGGCGGAAUGCGUGGUGUAGCGGUGACAUGCUUAGAUAUCACGAAGAACUCCGAUUGCGAAGGCAGCUCACUGGACUGCAACUGACACUGAGGCUCGAAAGUGUGGGUAUCAAACAGGAUUAGAUACCCUUGUAGUC
RNAcentral lists this ribosomal RNA (460 nucleotides) under uncultured bacterium. RNAcentral's name for it is "partial 16S ribosomal RNA". It matches the Rfam family "Bacterial small subunit ribosomal RNA", at positions 338 to 795 of the family's 1533-position model. The record is from RNAcentral.